CAAUCACAAUUUCAGAUUGCUCCAU
This 25-nucleotide small nuclear RNA is filed under the name Arabidopsis thaliana (thale cress). Its description in RNAcentral is "snRNA_15268". Lineage: Eukaryota; Viridiplantae; Streptophyta; Magnoliopsida; Brassicales; Brassicaceae. The record is from RNAcentral.